AUGAAGACUUAGAAAAAAAGUAAAGCAUACGCGUUUGGUUUGCGCUAUAUAACAUUACAAGUUAUUUCGACAUAUUCAGAUAUUGUGAAUUUCUGAAUGAGAUUACUACUAUGUUGUAUUACAAUGUUUGGUUUAAUGCUAUAUUUGAUUCAGUUUAUAAAAUUAAGUAAUUCUGACAAUAAAAUAUAAUCUUUUCCAAAAUUAUCCUUUAGCUAUAUUUGGCAAAAAUUUUUAGGGCAUCUUUGGUUCGUAGUCGGAAUCGAAAUCG
This 268-nucleotide long non-coding RNA is filed under the name Ananas comosus (pineapple). Its description in RNAcentral is "long non-coding RNA (ACOM_LNC031807)". Lineage: Eukaryota; Viridiplantae; Streptophyta; Magnoliopsida; Poales; Bromeliaceae. The record is from RNAcentral.